GUUAAUUGCUCUUCUAGAUGUUGAUGGGUUUUGUUGGUGUAAGUGGUUUUGUGCUUCCUUUUAACUUUAUGCGGUUUUAUUUCCUUUUCUAUGUGAUAUGUGUUAUUCAUUUUGUUGCUAACCAUAAUAUUUUUUGUGAUUCUCAGGUUGUUAGCAUACUAAUGAUGGUGAGUACCCUUUUCUUCAUAUUUGUUUUUGCUCUUUGUAUUAUUU
Molecule: long non-coding RNA, 213 nt
Filed under: Lathyrus oleraceus (garden pea)
Lineage: Eukaryota; Viridiplantae; Streptophyta; Magnoliopsida; Fabales; Fabaceae
Description: Pisum sativum (pea) long non-coding RNA (PSAT_LNC001480)
Source: RNAcentral